GCCUCAGUAGCAUCAAUGGUAAUGCAGCGAUCUCAAAAAUCGUGUCUCACCCCGAGACUUCUGGGUUCGAAUCCCAGCUGAGGCG
RNAcentral lists this transfer RNA (85 nucleotides) under Nanobdellota archaeon. RNAcentral describes it as "tRNA-Leu". It matches the Rfam family "tRNA". Rfam says of the family: Transfer RNA (tRNA) molecules are approximately 80 nucleotides in length. Their secondary structure includes four short double-helical elements and three loops (D, anti-codon, and T loops). Further hydrogen bonds mediate the characteristic L-shaped molecular structure. tRNAs have two regions of fundamental functional importance: the anti-codon, which is responsible for specific mRNA codon recognition, and the 3' end, to which the tRNAs corresponding amino acid is attached (by aminoacyl-tRNA synthetases). tRNAs cope with the degeneracy of the genetic code in two manners: having more than one tRNA (with a specific anti-codon) for a particular amino acid; and 'wobble' base-pairing, i.e. permitting non-standard base-pairing at the 3rd anti-codon position. The record is from RNAcentral. Lineage: Archaea; Nanobdellati; Nanobdellota.